AAACCUGUAGGGUUUCAGGGGAGAAGAAGAAAGGUGUUAAGCCACUGGCAAGUGUACCAGAUCGUUAUCAAGUAAUAUAAUUGGUAAACCCAAUAUCGUUCUUCCCAAAGGACUCUUAGGCCCUACUUUUCAUGUAAACAAAUCGCGUAAGAUUUGAGAAAAGAAUUAAGUUGGUGGUUAAAUGCAAAGAACAUAAAUAAACAUGCAAAUUCAGUUGAUUCAAUUGGCUUUGAGAAACUAUGGAUGAAUGAUGUUGUUGGGGUUUACAAUUUCAUCUUAUCCACUCUCAUAUAUUUACUUUUCUUAUUUACUUCACUUAUUUAUCUAAUUGCCAUGCAAACUUUCUAGCCUACCCUUAACCCAAUCCCUUGGUGAAAAGAGCCUAUUAUUAAUUACCGGCUUGCUAUCCCUAGCCUCCCCUAGUAACCAAUAACGCAAUGCGAACAGAAGCAAAAUACAAUUGAUCGUCCUACCUCUAUCCCUAGGUGGUACUAGCAUAAUCAAGGAAUUUCCCACCAGUUCAUGACAUUACCGUACGUCCCCAUAUCGAUAAAGACAAACAACAUUUAUUGAAUGAGUUAAACAAUAAAAGCAUUUAGCAAAGAUGAGAACCCAACAAUUGAUAAACAAGUAUAUGACAAACAUAUGAAAUAAAUAAGAAUUUAGAUAUAUGAGAGUUUCAAAAGAUU
RNAcentral lists this long non-coding RNA (689 nucleotides) under Vigna radiata. RNAcentral describes it as "long non-coding RNA (VRAD_LNC008323)". Lineage: Eukaryota; Viridiplantae; Streptophyta; Magnoliopsida; Fabales; Fabaceae. The record is from RNAcentral.